RNAcentral lists this ribosomal RNA (382 nucleotides) under uncultured bacterium. RNAcentral describes it as "bacterial SSU rRNA". It matches the Rfam family "Bacterial small subunit ribosomal RNA", at positions 434 to 793 of the family's 1533-position model. The record is from RNAcentral.
CAGCAGUGAGGAAGGUGGAUAUGUUAAUAGCAUAUUCAUUUGACGUUAGCUGCAGAAGAAGCACCGGACUAACUCCGUCGCCAGCAGCCGCGGUAAUACGGGAGGGUGCGAGACGUUAAGUACGGAAUUACGUGGGACGUAAAGCGCAUGCAGGUGGUUUAGUUAAGUCAGAUGUAGAAACGGCCCGGGGCUACAACCGUACGGAAUUGCUAUUUAGAAACGUGGACAAACUAGAGUACUGUAGAGGGGGUAGAAUUUCAGGUGUAGCGGUGAAAUGCGUAGAGAUCUGAAGGAAUACCGGUGGCGAAGGCGGCCCCCUGGACAGAUACUGACACUCAGAUGCGAAAGCGUGGGGAGCAAACAGGAUUAGAUACCCUGGUAG